Molecule: ribosomal RNA, 75 nt
Filed under: Claussenomyces olivaceus
Lineage: Eukaryota; Fungi; Ascomycota; Leotiomycetes; Leotiales; Tympanidaceae
Description: partial 18S ribosomal RNA
Source: RNAcentral
UGAGAUAUGACCGGCCCGCCCCCGCAAGGGACGCGGACGAAGCGUUCCGUAGGUGAACCUGCGGAAGGAUCAUUA